UACGGAGGGUGCAAACGUUGCUCGGAAUCAUUGGGCGUAAAGCGCACGUAGGCGGCCCGGUAAGUCGGAUGUGAAAUCCCUCGGCUCAACCGAGGAAGUGCAUUCGAAACUGCCAGGCUUGAAUAUGGAAGAGGGUCGCGGAAUUCCCGGUGUAGAGGUGAAAUUCGUAGAUAUCGGGAGGAACACCAGUGGCGAAGGCGGCGACCUGGGCCAAUAUUGACGCUGAGGUGCGAAAGCGUGGGGAGCAAACAGG
This 253-nucleotide ribosomal RNA is filed under the name uncultured bacterium. RNAcentral's name for it is "partial 16S ribosomal RNA". It matches the Rfam family "Bacterial small subunit ribosomal RNA", at positions 524 to 776 of the family's 1533-position model. The record is from RNAcentral.